UGUUAAAAAUUUCAUCAAUUUGUAUAGUUAAAAACUGACGUGGCUAACAGAAUAAUCAGACAGUGAUAUAUGACAUGUCACGUGUAAAUCAUGUUGACGUACAAGGGUCGGUUGUUAACAAUAGAAUUGAAUGAAAUUUUUAAUA
Molecule: non-coding RNA, 145 nt
Organism: Gossypium arboreum
Lineage: Eukaryota; Viridiplantae; Streptophyta; Magnoliopsida; Malvales; Malvaceae
Source: Rfam